Gallus gallus (chicken) is the source of this 3380-nucleotide long non-coding RNA. The record is from Ensembl. Lineage: Eukaryota; Metazoa; Chordata; Aves; Galliformes; Phasianidae.
GCAGCCCUGCAGCUGAUAAAAGGGACUUCUUGGGCUUUGCUUGUCUGAUUUUGUCACCAUGUAGUUGUGGAUGAGGCAGUUCUGGAGUAUCCAUUUUUCUCCGUUGGCCAGAAAGGGAGUUUCUUUCUUGCCCAGAUGAACGUGUCUGCAACUGACCCCUUGAAAUGCUUCAGGGACAAUAAUUAUAUGGCUACAAAGCAAAGAAGGAAUCCGGCUGACAGAAAGGGAGGGGCUGGUUGAGGUGGGAAUGAGAGCAUACAUGAAAUGAUUUGUCGUCUCUUUGUAAAUUGUAUGAGAACAACCCAAACAGGCCACUGCAGCUGAAGAAAGUGAAUUUCAAUGAUCUGAUAUCUUCCAGGCAAAAUCCCAUGGGAAGCGAUUCCGAGGAGAGGGGCUUAAAUAACAGACAACAGGAGCACAAGCGCUGGCCAUCCCAGAGCAAAGCGUGGGCUGGGAGUGCCAAAGGAGCCAAAGAGAAGUUCUUCAUUGGCUUCAGAUACAAGACAGAGCAUACAGAGAGUGACAACUGCUGCGGUACUCGGGGCUGCUGUGAAGGAGUCGUAUGGAAAGGGAAGGACCGCUUCACAGAAGGAGGGUGUAAUGAGGAAUAUCGAAGGUAGAAGGAACUGUAAGUAGUACGAGAUGGAUUGAGAAUUGGACCACUGCUUGGCAGAAAGGGGAAGGUACGGACAGGCAGGUCCCUGAGAAGUUGUGCACCCAUCCACAGCUGCUUUGAUUAUGAGCUCCCCACUGAGCUUCCUACUUUCUCUGUGCUGGUUUUUAUCAGGCCAGUUGGUUUCUUUCUUCUAAACACCCUGUUUGGCCUCUUUGAGCAUCAGUGCAUUUUUAUUCUCCAUAAAUCUGAUGAAGUUUCUGUUUAUCCCAAGGAUUGCUAUUGUUCUUUAAAUAAUAGCAAUGCAAGUAGGUUGGAGGUCUCCUCGGGCAGAGCCGUAGGACUGAUGGGUGCAGGCUGGCUGUGCCUGCUGGGCUCGAGUCUGGAUUGCUAAUGGUGGCUGUUCAGUAUCCACCUUAGUUCCCAAUGGGUUGGAAAGCGCUUUGUGAUGUGGCACACAUACACCAUUCCCCUAACGACGGAACCGAAGUAUUUCAUCAACACUUGCACGUUUUGACUCUGCAGUUUGCAGGUGCAAAGUUUCUCACUGAAUGGGAGAGUAUUUGUGGCAGGAACCAAGACUGGAAGGGCUGAGGCGGAUGGCUGAGCGCAGAGCCGAAAGGUGGUGAUGCUCACACAGCCCCGCGUGAAGGCGGGAUGCAAUUAGUGCAGAACGUCUGCUUCAAUAAAUCACCGCAAAAAGUGCUGCGCUCAGGGAAGACUGCUGUGGGACUGAUGGGGGCAGGAGAUGCCCCGGUCAGUGGUGUCCAUGUGAGUUGCAAGAAGGAAGGAAAGAACGGAGAACAGAGAUCGGAGACCAUCAACAGACGUUUCAGAUACUGACACCAACAGCACUUCUGAGGAGCCGGACCUGCCCACACCCCUCAGAAGUCAGCUCUGUGCAGUCCCUGUGAGCCCUGUCAGCCUUGGUUGGGUUUCACCUGUCUGCACACUCUUCUCCUCAGCCAGGCCAUGGGAAGUCUGGGGUGAAGCUGAGGAUGCCCAGUAUCAAAGGGAUAGCUGCGUGGCCUGAGGAGCAGUGUAAGAAGAUGGCUGGAAAUACGGCCUGCCUCCUGCUCCCACCUGAGGGUGGGCUGAGGAGGACACAAUGGGCUCUGUGGUUCCGAGAUGAGAGAGAAGAGUAGCAAAGGGGAUUAAUCAGGCUGAAGAAUCUGGCUGCAAGGCAUCCUGACGGUGACUGGAGCAGCCUGUGCUGCUGAACUGGUUCUUCUUCACUCAUCACAGCUUCAGGGGAGGUCUUGCAGGAAUCUAAGAACACUUCAGGAAAGAGCUGAACUCUGGGCUGGCUGCACAGAGCCCAGGGAGCUGAGACGACGGCAGGAAACCUACAGACCACAGCAGUGUUUGUAGUGCUCAGCCUCUGGACACAUCCUGGGGCUUCCUUAUGCCUCAAGGCUAGUUAACCACUUGAAUGAGGAGGGAGCUUUUCCUGCUUGCUCUUUAUUCUUUGGAUCCUCCCUGGACUCAGCCUGUGCUGGCAGCACUGUGAUGCCGCAGCAGCUUCAGGAACGCCUCUGACAGCCCCAGAGCUGCGAGGGAGCAGCUACUCUGCAUGCAAGGAGGAGCACUGCGUCUCCUGAGCCCUCACUUUAAGUCAUGCAAACGGUGUUUGGAUGUUUCUGAGCCUUGAAGUGCCUCCUGUCUCCCACCUCACAUCCUUCCUGACAGCUCCCUGCUCCUGUGCUGGAGGAUGUGUGCUGACAGAGGAAAAGUACUGUUGUCUUCCUGAGACCCUCCAAUAGGGAGAGCGGGUGUUGGGGAAUAGAUUUGCAGGGCAGAGGGCAGGGAACAGCUCCUGAAUGUGCCCCCACACCAUUCCGAAGAAGCCAGUACUGAGGGAUAGGGAAUUAGUUGGUUCCUUUUCACUCAUAGCCCUCACUGAGCAAUACCUGCAUGGGAUAUUACCACCCCACCAGCUCAAUGCAUCCUGGGGCACCUCCAUCUCCCGUGGGAGUGGGCUGGGCACGCUGGGCAUGAGCUGCUGCCACAAGAGUCUGCUCUGUGCCAGCAGCAAGCGGCCACCAUCUGCAGCAGGGAGGGAGGCACAGAGAGGGGAAGCGAGCUGCCAUUUCCCAUUGCCAUCGUGGUCAUGCAUUUAGUACUGCCAUAUGAGAUACCCUUUCCACUGGGAACUGUCGCCCUGGGGUGUGAGCUGUACAGUGCCUGCAUGGAGCCAGGGUGAGGUGUGCUAUGUCCCAGUCAAACCUGAGGCAGCAGCCCCAUGCUGUCUCACUCACACUCAUCAGUUGAUCCCUCAACCCCAGCAGCCUGCCUUUGGUGCUUCCCUUCUGUGUAGGAACUGCUGAGUCACGGCCUGAACCACUGAUGGAUCACCUGGGGAAAGGACCCGGUCAGCCCUGGGAGCACAGGUGAAGGCAAUUCAUGUUUGUGACCAGAAGGGGUGGAGCCUGACUGCACCUCUCUUAGACCUCAUUUCAGGGCUGACUGCCACUGGGGAAGGAUGGUGUUCUGGAGAUCCCUCCUUGGUGAAGCUUUGCCCUGUGAACCUGGAAUCUUCUGAUUCAGCCCACCCUUGGAUACCGACAGGCCGCUCUUCUCCUUGGAGAAGUUGGGAGUCCUGAACGCGUCCGACAAGGCUGCGUUCCGCCCCGCGUACCAACACCUUCGCCGGGUUCAGCCGUUAAUUACCCUGAAACGACGGAGGCUCUUUGCGGCGCUGGGCAGGCAUCUGCCGUGGGGACGGCGGUGGCCGAGGGGCAGCUCGGCGCGGUACCGCCCGGCCGGG